RNAcentral lists this ribosomal RNA (513 nucleotides) under uncultured bacterium. RNAcentral's name for it is "partial 16S ribosomal RNA". It matches the Rfam family "Bacterial small subunit ribosomal RNA", at positions 28 to 507 of the family's 1533-position model. The record is from RNAcentral.
GACGAACGCUGGCGGCGUGCUUAACACAUGCAAGUCGAACGAAAAGAGGGAAAGAGCUUGCUCUUUCCGGAAUUGAGUGGCAAACGGGUGAGUAACACGUAAACAACCUGCCUUCAGGAUGGGGACAACAGACGGAAACGACUGCUAAUACCGAAUAAGUUCCAAGAGCCGCAUGGCCCAUGGAAGAAAAGGUGGCCUCUACCUGUAAGCUAUCGCCUGAAGAGGGGUUUGCGUCGGAUUAGCUGGUUGGAGGGGUAACGGCGCACCAAGGCGACGAUCAGUAGCAGGUCUGAGAGGAUGAACGGCCACACUGGAAGUGAGACACGGCCCAGACUCCUACGGGAGGCAGCAGUGGGGAAUCUUCAGCAAUGGGCGAAAGACUGACGGAGCAACGCCGCGUGAGUGAUGACGGCCUUCGGGUUGUAAAACUCUGUGAUCCGGGACGAAAAGGCAGAGUGCGAAGAACAAACUGCAUUGACGGUACCGGAAAAGCAAGCCACGGCUAACUACGUG